GGGGAUGUAGCUCAGCUGGCUAGAGCGCUUGACUGGCAGUCAAGAGGUCGCGUGUUCGAGUCACGUUAUCUCCA
This 74-nucleotide transfer RNA is filed under the name Flavobacteriaceae bacterium. RNAcentral describes it as "tRNA-Ala". It matches the Rfam family "tRNA". Rfam says of the family: Transfer RNA (tRNA) molecules are approximately 80 nucleotides in length. Their secondary structure includes four short double-helical elements and three loops (D, anti-codon, and T loops). Lineage: Bacteria; Pseudomonadati; Bacteroidota; Flavobacteriia; Flavobacteriales; Flavobacteriaceae. The record is from RNAcentral.